GACGAACGCUGGCGGCGUGCUUAACACAUGCAAGUCGAACGGAAAGGCCCUGCUUUUGUGGGGUGCUCGAGUGGCGAACGGGUGAGUAACACGUGAGUAACCUGCCCUUGACUUUGGGAUAACUUCAGGAAACUGGGGCUAAUACCGGAUAUGAGCUCCUGCUGCAUGGUGGGGGUUGGAAAGUUUCGGCGGUUGGGGAUGGACUCGCGGCUUAUCAGCUUGUUGGUGGGGUAGUGGCUUACCAAGGCUUUGACGGGUAGCCGGCCUGAGAGGGUGACCGGCCACAGUGGGACUGAGAUACGGCCAAGACGCCUACGGGAGGCAGCAGUGGGGAAGAUUGCACAAGGGGCGGAAGCCGGAUGCAGCAACGCCGCGUGCGGGAUGACGGCCUUCGGGUUGGAAACCGCUUUCGCCUGUGACGAAGCGUGAGUGACGGUAAUGGGUAAAGAAACACCGGCUAACUACGU
This 467-nucleotide ribosomal RNA is filed under the name uncultured bacterium. Its description in RNAcentral is "partial 16S ribosomal RNA". It matches the Rfam family "Bacterial small subunit ribosomal RNA", at positions 28 to 506 of the family's 1533-position model. The record is from RNAcentral.